This 253-nucleotide ribosomal RNA is filed under the name uncultured bacterium. RNAcentral describes it as "partial 16S ribosomal RNA". It matches the Rfam family "Bacterial small subunit ribosomal RNA", at positions 524 to 776 of the family's 1533-position model. The record is from RNAcentral.
UACGGAGGGGGCUAGCGUUGUUCGGAAUUACUGGGCGUAAAGCGCACGUAGGCGGAUCUUUAAGUCAGAGGUGAAAUCCCAAGGCUCAACCUUGGAACUGCCUUUGAUACUGGGGAUCUUGAGUCCGGGAGAGGUGAGUGGAACUGCGAGUGUAGAGGUGAAAUUCGUAGAUAUUCGCAAGAACACCAGUGGCGAAGGCGGCUCACUGGCCCGGUACUGACGCUGAGGUGCGAAAGCGUGGGGAGCAAACAGG